GACGAACGCUGGCGGCGUGGAUUAGGCAUGCAAGUCGAACGGUAUCAUCCUUUCGGGGGUGAGAGAGUGGCGAACUGGUGAGUAACACGUAGGUUAUCUACCCUCAAGACGGGGACAACCCAGGGAAACUUGGGCUAAUACCGGAUGUGAGCAACUUUUAGUUGUUUGAAAGGUGGCGUAAGCUGUCGCUUGGGGAUGAGCCUGCGUCCUAUUAGUUAGUUGGUGAGGUAACGGCUCACCUAGGCAAUGAUAGGUAGGCGGCCUUAACGGGUGGUCGCCCACACUGGGAUUGAGAUACGGCCCAGACUCCUACGGGAGGCAGCAGUCGAGAAUAGUCUACAAUGGUCGGAAGACUGAUAGUGCGACGCCGCGUGAACGAUGAAUCCCUUCGGGGUGUAAAGUUCUUUUAUAUGUGAGCAGUGCUUCUUAUAUUAACAGUAUGGGGAAGAGAUAUAGCAUAUGAAUAAGCAACGGCUAACUCCGUGCCAGCAGCCGCGGUAAAU
Molecule: ribosomal RNA, 503 nt
Filed under: uncultured bacterium
Lineage: Bacteria
Description: bacterial SSU rRNA
Rfam family: Bacterial small subunit ribosomal RNA
Source: RNAcentral